RNAcentral lists this ribosomal RNA (301 nucleotides) under uncultured bacterium. Its description in RNAcentral is "partial 16S ribosomal RNA". It matches the Rfam family "Bacterial small subunit ribosomal RNA", at positions 509 to 807 of the family's 1533-position model. The record is from RNAcentral.
CAGUCGCCGCGGUAAAACGUAGGGUGCAAGCGUUAAUCGGAAUUACUGGGCGUAAAGCGUGCGCAGGCGGUGUUGUAAGACUGAUGUGAAAUCCCCGGGCUCAACCUGGGAACUGCAUUGGUGACUGCAACGCUGGAGUGCGGCAGAGGGGGAUGGAAUUCCGCGUGUAGCAGUGAAAUGCGUAGAUAUGCGGAGGAACACGGAUGGCGAAGGCAAUCCCCUGGGCCUGCACUGACGCUCAUGCACGAAAGCGUGGGGAGCAAACAGGAUUAGAUACCCCCGUAGUCCCUGUCUCUUAUAC